RNAcentral lists this long non-coding RNA (645 nucleotides) under Carica papaya (papaya). RNAcentral's name for it is "long non-coding RNA (CPAP_LNC016155)". Lineage: Eukaryota; Viridiplantae; Streptophyta; Magnoliopsida; Brassicales; Caricaceae. The record is from RNAcentral.
UUUACUUUUGAGAUCAUAAGGUUCAGAGUGAUAUAAGGUGACAAAAUGUGAAACAUCUAUUGAUAUCAAUUCCGAUAGCACAAAUAACAACUCAUGGACAAGACAUAACUCAAGCUUAUAUGGGAGAUUACAUAAGCUUAAGAGCUCACAACCACAAAGGGAAUCAUGGCUACAUAAGCGUAAGACCUCACGACCACAAAAGAAAUUAUGGUUACAUGAGCUUAAAAUGCUAUGAUAACAUUAAAAGAGAGUAAGACUUAAUCCAAGAGGGAGUUCAUGGCCAUAUGAGAGCUUCCAUAGAAGCUCAAGGCCAUAUGGGGAAUUACGUGAGGGCUCACAGCUUCAUAGGAGAUCAAGGUGAAACUUAUAGUCUUAUGAGCUUAAAAGGCCAUGGUUUAGGCCUCAUGAUUAAUGGAACUCGUUGGAAGGUCCAUACACUCAAAGAUCUAUACGGUAAGGUCCAUUUAAGUGGGUCUCAAGAUCCAAUUCAAAAAAAGUAAAGUCCAUAUGGGGAAAAUCCUAUAAUGAAUCCACUUUAAGGUGCAUUUGGACUUUAAGGAUGGAGUAUCACAAGAACAUGGGCAAUAAACUCAAGAGAGAUUUUCAAGUGUCUGUUAAAGGAUGGAUUCAUGAAGAAUGGAGUAU